This 253-nucleotide ribosomal RNA is filed under the name uncultured bacterium. RNAcentral describes it as "partial 16S ribosomal RNA". It matches the Rfam family "Bacterial small subunit ribosomal RNA", at positions 524 to 776 of the family's 1533-position model. The record is from RNAcentral.
UACAGGGGGGGCAAGCGUUGUUCGGAAUUACUGGGCGUAAAGGGCUCGUAGGCGGCCAACUAAGUCACACGUGAAAUCCCCAGGCUUAACCUGGGAACUGCGUGUGAUACUGGAUGGCUUGAAUUCGGGAGAGGGAUGCAGAAUUCCAGGUGUAGCGGUGAAAUGCGUAGAUAUCAAGUGGAACACCAGUGGCGAAGGCGAAUCCCUGGAAAACACCUGACACUGAGGCACGAAAGCUAGGGGAGCAAACAGG